ACAUUCAUCUUUAAAUGUAAAUAAACUUUCAAAUUCAUCCUUUCAGAAUUGUUAUGUAUAAAACCUGGUGCCUGUUAAGUCUUUAACUUCUCUAUUUGAAUAAAAUCACUUAAUGAAACUCUGGUAGCUUCUUUCACCUCAAGUCCUCAAAUAUAUUUUCCCUGGAUAUGGAAUUCUGGACUGACAGUUCUUAAGGAUGAUGCUCUGUUGUCUUCUAGCCUUCACAGUUGCUGAUGAGAAACCUACUGCCUUUCAAAUCACUGUUUCCCUGUGUGUAAGGCACUAUUCUUUGCUAGUUUCAUCAGUUUUACGGCAGCUUGAUUAUGUGUCUAGACAUAGCUUUCUUUCAGUUUAUCCUGUUUAGGAUUCACUGACCUUCUUGAAUCUGUAAACCUAUGUCUUGUACCAAAUUUGGAAAGUUUUAUCUAUUAUUUCUUCAAAUAUUUUCCUGUAGCAAUCUCAUUCUUCUCUUCUGGGGACUCCAAUGACAUGAAUGUUUGACCUUUUGAUAUGGUCCAAGAGGUCUCUGAAACAGUUCCUUUGUUUGACAUCUUUUUCUCUUUCUGUUAUUCAGAAUGGAUAAAUCUUUAAACUGAGUGAUACUUUCCUGUGUUAUCCUCAUUCUGCUAUUGACCUAUCCAGUGAAUUUUGUUCUUUAAGACAUUGUAGUUUUAAUUCUAAAAAUUUCCCUUGAUUCUCUUUUAAAGUUUCUGUUUCUCUGUUGUGAACCUCUGCUUUUCCACUCAUCAGUGUUUACCUUUAUUUCACAGAACAUGAGAUAAAAUCUUUGAUAAAUCCAAUAAGUGGGUCAUUUCGAGGUUGGCAUAUACUGAUUCUUUUCCCAAAACAACUGAUGUUAUCCACAUCCACCUCUUCUUCACUCUAGAGAUUCAGACCAGAACACAGUCAGUUUCCUGAGCAUAUUUAGGACCUGGCUUACUAAUGACUCCAAAAGGAGGAGAUGUCAUCCUUUCCCUUCGAGCUGAAUUCUGAGAAGCAUGAAGAGGAUGAUUUGGAUGUCCCGGAUCACCAGCAGAUGCUAAUGCAGAACCAUAACGUAAUUGAGCUUCAGUAGAAUCCAUAAUACUGACCAUCCAGUUCCAAGUGGGAAUAAGCUUUUCUUCUACAUAGUUCUACGAAGACCAAACUAAAAUAGUUAAAACUAUCCAGAUAAAGUCAAAUUUGAUAGAGUAGUAUGAUACAAACAUUUAACUCCUAACAUUAUUUCCCAUCAUACUGGAAUUCUCAUGACAGACAGCCAAAAAAUAUAUUUGAAUGGGUAACUUUUCAAUGGUUCAUACCUGUAAGUUUACUGCAUCUUGGUAAGUCAGUUUCACAGCUGCUGGAAUCUGAGAGUAUACUAGGUGAUUAUACUUAGGAAUAAGGCCCAUCAAGUCCGAGAUUUGCCUGAUGACAAUGCUAUAAGCCCUGGCUAAACUGCUUGCAGAUGUUAAGUAGCUGCUGGCAUUGCUAGCUUCCAAAGCAGCUGCUGCAGCGGCAGCACUCGUGCUGAUGGUACCACUCCGGCGUAAGUUUGAAGGAUCAAUGUAAAUCAACCCCGCUGAACUUGCUGUAAGGAAAAGAAGGACAACCACAAUAAACUAAUGUCAGUCGCUAA
This is a long non-coding RNA of Camelus dromedarius (Arabian camel), 1618 nucleotides long. RefSeq lists it as uncharacterized. The transcript is spliced from 3 exons. Lineage: Eukaryota; Metazoa; Chordata; Mammalia; Artiodactyla; Camelidae. The record is from RefSeq and is a predicted model, not a curated record.